AUUGAACGCUGGCGGCAUGCUUUACACAUGCAAGUCGAACGGCAGCGCGGGCUUCGGCCUGGCGGCGAGUGGCGAACGGGUGAGUAAUGCAUCGGAACGUGCCCAGUAGUGGGGGAUAGCCCGGCGAAAGCCGGAUUAAUACCGCAUACUACCUGAGGGUGAAAGCGGGGGGCCGAAAGGCCUCGCGCUAUUGGAGCGGCCGAUGUCGGAUUAGCUAGUUGGUGGGGUAAAGGCUUACCAAGGCGACGAUCCGUAGCUGGUCUGAGAGGACGACCAGCCACACUGGGACUGAGACACGGCCCAGACUCCUACGGGAGGCAGCAGUGGGGAAUUUUGGACAAUGGGGGCAACCCUGAUCCAGCCAUGCCGCGUGCGGGAAGAAGGCCUUCGGGUUGUAAACCGCUUUUGUUCGGGAAGAAAUCCUCUGGGCUAAUACCCCGGGGGGAUGACGGUACCGGAAGAAUAAGCACCGGCUAACUACGU
This 483-nucleotide ribosomal RNA is filed under the name uncultured bacterium. Its description in RNAcentral is "partial 16S ribosomal RNA". It matches the Rfam family "Bacterial small subunit ribosomal RNA", at positions 28 to 506 of the family's 1533-position model. The record is from RNAcentral.